GUCCAACUGUCCCCAUUUUACAGGUGGGGAGACUGAAGUCCAGAAAGUCAAGCCAAAUGAUCUGGUUCAUGUAGUUAGCUAAUGGUUCUAGGGACCAUUUGGGGGCUUUCAACAUAUGAAUCCUCACAACAAACCCAUGAGAGCUUGUGGUAAACUGCAGACACAAUGAAUGAAGCAGACUGCAACGGAGGAAGGACAAGUCUCAGAGCAAUCCAAAAGGGACUUAAAAUGCAGGUCUUCAUGCCAUAUAUAAAAAUUAACUAAAAAAUG
This is a long non-coding RNA of Symphalangus syndactylus (siamang), 270 nucleotides long. RefSeq lists it as uncharacterized. NCBI's taxonomy places the organism in Eukaryota, Metazoa, Chordata, Mammalia, Primates, Hylobatidae. The record is from RefSeq and is a predicted model, not a curated record.